RNAcentral lists this long non-coding RNA (10447 nucleotides) under Homo sapiens (human). RNAcentral's name for it is "HSALNT0276426". The record is from RNAcentral. Lineage: Eukaryota; Metazoa; Chordata; Mammalia; Primates; Hominidae.
GUGAAGAUGGCAAUGACGGCUGCAGUCCAAGCCCUAGUGGGCAGAUGAGGAGCAGCCCCUCUCCUUAAAAAUAAAGCCGGAUUCCUAACAUUCUCUUCAACCCACGGCUGUGCAGGGCAGAGUCUCAACACAGGAAUUGGAACAUAACAAAUCUGCCGACUGCCAGCUUUGAUCUCACAAGGAUGGAGUUGGGGAGGUGAAGAGAAAGUAAAUGCUCUCUCGACUUUCCAAAGGAAAACAAUUUUCUUUCUUGCAGGGGUGCCAGUUACAGCUGAUGAUGGCUGACGUUGGGAGAUUUCAAAGGUGCCUGGGUCUGGAAAAUUCUCACCCAUCAAGAGGAGAAAAUCUAACUAAAAUAUUUUCACCCAUUUUAUGUCACUGAUGGCUGCAAAGUGAACCCAGGGCGCCUCUGUGGCUGGAGAGACAGGUGCUGCACCAGGGAGACAGGAGUCCAAGUGAAUUUUUGAAAAGAACGCUCUGAAAUUUGGCUGGUGAAAAAAGCAAAGACCAGGCAUUGCAACCUGGGCUCUGACCUCAACAACGUGUGUCACCUUGGGCAGGCCCCCUUUGCUGCCUCCUAAUUUCCCCAUCUAGGGUGGAAGUUUUAUUAAAGAGGAGGAGGGAGUUUUGAAAUCAAACUGACUUGGAAUCUUGGUUCUACCACUUGCUAACUGCAGGGCUUUCCUUAACCUUUCUACCUUACCUAUCUGGACUCAUGUAGCCUCAUCUGGUAAGUGACAGCGAUAUUCUAUAUCUUUAGGCAGUGCCAAAUUACCUUAAAGAAGGGCUAAGCACAUGUUUGGGGCACUAGAAAAGUAGAGUACCAGGGGAAGAAAAAGUGUGAGAUAAUCAGGAGGUCUAGAAUCAAAAGCUGCUUAAAUUUUGGCAUUAUGAGAGCGUCGUGUCAUUCUGAAAAAUAAUUUAAAAGUACUUAAUAUAUUUAAUUGAAAAUUAUAUAUGGAAUGUAUGGGUGUGCAUUAUAUAUAGAAUAUGCUUUGCUCCUUGGAAUGCUGUGAGAUUGAAUGCAAUUAUACAUAUAAAAUAAUUAACACAGUGCCUAGAAGUUGGAAGAACUCUGUAAAUAGUUGUAGCAGCUACUGUUGGUAAAUGAGUAAGCUACAUUCCAAAAUAUCUGCAGUCCUUUUUUAAGCCCCAGUGUUCUAGGAUUCUGCCUGGAGGGAGGAUGCUUAAUUUCAGAUAAUAGCUGCAUCAGGACCAACAUGGGCCAAUGGGGAUUUCCAAAGAAGGAUGGUCCAAAGCACGCUGGGAAAGUUGGCAGGAUUUGCCCUAAGCAUCACUGAAGUUGAUGAUAUGAUGAGACACAGCUCAUCUGGUCUCAAACUAUCUCCCCCAGCAGUCAUGGUACCCAACAUUUUGCAACUAGAAAGAAGCCCAUAUCUGCUAACUCACCAAGACUAGAAACCAUUCUUGAUGUCACUAUGAUGUACAUCAUUUUACCUAAGAUUUACUUAUCUACCUAUAUCCAUCCAUCCAUCCAUCCAUACAUCCAUCCAUCCAUCCAUCCAUCCAUCCAACAUCAGGAACCUUCUGAAGGCUAACUGCACCAUAUGGUGGAUAUGAUGGAUAGAUUUUAGUCCUCUUUCGUUGUUGGCACUCCAAAUUUGGGAUGGGAAUUGUCAUUGAGCAGCUAUUCUGUGCUAUCUAGACGCUUUAGACACAUUAUCCCACUUAAUCCUAAUGACGGCACUAAGAGCUAUAGAUAACAAUGUUUAUAAGGUAAUAAUAGCUACGAUUUAUUGAGUGUUACUAUGUACUGGCCACUGUGCUUAGCCUUUUAUAUGAGAUAUCACAUUUAAUGUCCCCAACAGUUUUGAGAAGAACUCUUAUUUCUUUGAUUUACCAUUAUUGCCCAGCUUCAGAAAGGUUAAGUGACUAGCCCAAGGUCACACGGCACAUUAGAGGUCAAAGCAAGCCUCUUUCCCUGGUCUUUGUAAUUCCAGGUUGGUCACUGUCUGCUUCACUGUGCCUCUAGCUAACUGAUUUUCUCUUGGAGGGAGGCAUGCGGGCUCCCAACCUCACUAGACAAUCAUGGGAGGAGGAAAGACAAGGGCUUUCUCACAGAGUUAACUCUCCACUCCUUGCCCCCUGGGGAAGGGCACCCCCUCCUGAGCAUCCUGACAGGUCAGCCUGCACUCAAAGUAGCCUUUCGGGGGGCCCUUGAUGGCUCCCAGAUGGGAACGCACACAGCUGUCAGGUGCUUCCGAGAGUCUCUGGAUCCUAAGAGCACUGGCGGUGUGCCUGUAGGAUUAAUUGCUUCUCUGGCUUCCAGCAGGGAAGCGGGGUGUGGUAACAUCUUGGCUUGGUUAAGGAUGAAGGGGCAGGCACACAGGUGGCAGAGAGCAUGCCUCUGUAGCACAGGAUCAGAGGAAACUAUGUGGCUGAGAACAGCUCCUGGUAGGUAGGGAAGCCCAUGAGGACCUCACUUCCCCUAGAAGGAAGAUGUCAGAAGCUGAUGUCCUUUCCCCCUGUGCAGUUCUAAAAUUAUGUAACUGGAAGAGGUGCCACAGGAAAACCUGUUUCUAUCAUCCUUAUUCGUUCUGUGUGGUCUUCCUCCUUGUCUUUCUUACAAUUCUUCUUCCACAGUUAAUUUUUUUCAGGCACCUUCUAUAUCUCAUGCUCUGGAAAUACCAAGAUGAACCAUGCAGACCCUGACCCCAUGGAGUUGAGAGUCUGGUGGUGGAAGACAGACAUCAUCAAACGCUGGCACAAAUAAAGGCACAUUUAUUUACUUGAGGGGUUACAUGUUAAGUCACGGAGGCACAGAUUCUAGAGGAGCCAGUAGCAGGGCCUGAGCUUGGUCCAGGGUUGGCCAGGAAGCUCUUUCCUGCAGAAGUAAUGCUUGCACUCAGGACCAAAAGAUGACCAGGUGAAGAGUCACCUCACUCCUUGAAACCUCAGUUUCCUUCUUUGUAAAGUGGGAUGAUAGUAACACCUACAUUCCAGGAUAUUUGUGAGGAUAAACUGAGAUGACACAGGUGAAAAUGAGUAGUACGGAGUCUGGUACAUAGUCAGUGCCCAUCGUAUCAUGGCUUUGGCCAUAGUCCCUCGAUGUGAAGUGAAGUUCCCAUAGAUUGGAAGGCCUAUCGUUGACUUAGAAACUGCUGCCCAAGGGACAAAGAAGAAUGCAAGCCCACUAUGUGAAAUGGAAGCACACAGAAAAGGAAGGGCCUCACUCUGCUCUCUCUCUUCUGUGUGUGUGUGUGUGUGUGUGUGUGUGUGUGUGUGUGUGUGUAUGAUGAGAAGUUUGCACAGAGAAGCUGGUGUUUAGGCCAGGUCCUGAAUGGUAGAUAGCAGUUUACAAGAGAAAAGGGGGAGGAAGGGUGUCAGAGAUAAAAGGAACAUCAAUGCAAAGUGAUACAAGGAUGAGAAUGAGUGUCAUCCGCCUUGUCAGAUGCCUGGGGAAAUUCCAAUGGGCACAUGGAACAGAUCCCCAAACAAAACAACCUUUAAUAACACAAUACUAUUACUCCUAAUGGCAAUAACGGCAAAAGCAAUAAUCACAAUGACCACAAUAGCAACAGCCGUUACCAUGCAUUGACAGGUUACUCUCUUUCAGGCACUGUACAUGGGUAACUUCACCUGAAAUGCUGAAAAUAAAUCUUGCUCAUUCUUUCCUGGGAUAUAGUGAAUGACUUCAUGCCCUACAUUGUAUGGGCUACCCACAUAGGUGAGGAAUUGAGGAUACAGCCAUGGAGGAUUUUUCUGUUAAACCUCAGAAGGGAUGCUCUCAAUUUCUGCAAGGCUCUCCUGGGCAACAUGAACGGUCCAGACAAGUUCAUUCAUUUUUUUGUUUUUCUGGAGGGUUAAAUGGGGGAUAGAGUAUUCAGGAGGUAGGUUUAGCUCAGUCCAAGGAUGGCUACAAAGAGCUGUGGUAGGUAGUGCUCUGACAAAGAGUUCCCUGUCGUGGGGAUAUUCAAGUGUAACUCAGUUAAUUUCUUGUUGGGGAUGUUCUGAGCAUGGUCAGAACAAAGAGAAAGGGAAAUUCAGGGGGAAUUGGUCUAGAAGAUCCCUUCAAUUCCAGGAUGCUGUGGUUUCAGGAAGGCAGGAAUGAUCUACCAUGAAAGGUUUUUACAACAGUAGGAAACAUCAUCAUCUUGGCUUUGCCUGUCUCCAGGAGGCUUGAAUGUGAUUUGCAUAACCACAGGGGGAUGGAUGUCUUGAUCUUUCACAGUUUUUUUCCAGCCCUUAGAAUCAUUCUGGUCUUUGCUUGCAACCUCCUUUAGAACCAUAUCCUGAGCCACCUCCAUCCUUCUCCCAAAUUAUUGUAACAACUUCUGAGUAGGUCCCCUAGCACUCUAUAAUCUACCCUCCACACAGAAGCAAAAGCUAUCAUAUAAAAUAAAAAUCGGAUAUAUUUUCCCCCUACAGUUGUAACUUAUGACCAUAGCCGUCCCCAACCCAACUGGUUCUCCCAUUCCACCUCCCCUCACCUAAUGUGCACAAACCACUCUCCCUUCUUUUCUGACUCACAAACAUUCAGGGCUUUUGCCUUUCCUCUGUCUGAGCCCUCUUCCCCUAGGACUUUGCAAGGCCAGUUUUUUUCUCAUCGUUAAAUUCCCAGCUCAACUGUCACCCCAGACAGGGCUCUCUGACCAGUCUCCAGUCACUCCAUCCGGACGACCCUUUUAAUUUUCCUUUCAGCAUUUAUCUAGCUGGGCCUGGUGAUGUGUGUCUGUAGUUUCAGCCACUCGGGAGGCUGAGGAAGGAGGAUUGCUGGAGCCCAGGAGUUCAAGGCUGCAGUGAGCUGUGAUCAUCACUUUGCUCCAGUCUGGAUGACAGAGCGAGACCCUGUCUCUAAAACAUAAAUAAAUAGGCCAGGUUUGGUGGCUCAUGCCUGUAAUCCCAGCACUUUUGGAGGCUGAAGCCAGUGGAUUGUUUGAGCCCAGGAAUUUGAGACCAGCCUGGACAACAGGUGAAACCCUGUUUCUAGGAAAAGCAAAAAUUAGCCAGGCAUAGUGGUACAUACCUGUGGUCCCAGAUACUCAGGAGGCUGAUGUGAAAGGACCACCUGAGCCUGGGAAGUUGAGGCUGCAGUGAGCUGAGACUGCUCCACUGAACUCUAGCCUGGGCGGCAGAGUGAGACCCUGUCUCUAAAUACAUAAAUAAAAUAAGUAAAGCACUUUUCAGUAUCUUUCUGGAAUUCUUAUCUAUUUGUUAACAUAUGUAUGGUCUUUUUCUGCUGCUGAGAGGUGAAGCCAGCUGGACUUCCUGGCUCGAGUAGGGACUUGGAGAACUUUUCUGUCUAGUUAGAGGUUUGUAAAUGCACCAAUCAGCGCUUUGUGUCUAGCCAAAGGAUUGUAAAUGCACCAAUCAGCAACUCUGUAAAAUGGACCAAUCAGCACUCUGUAAAAUGGACCAAUCAGCACUCUGUAAAAUUGACCAAUCAGCAGGAUGUGGGAGGGGACAAAUAAGGAAAUAAAAGCUGACCACCCCAGCCAGCGGGGGCGACGUGGUGGGGUCCAUUUGUAGGUUGUGGAGGAUUUGAUCUUUUGCUCUUGGAAAUAAAUCUUGCUGCUGCGCGCGCUCUCUCUCUGGGUGCAUGCUGCUUUUAAGAGCUGUGAUACUCACCAGGAAGGUCCGUGGUUUCAUUCUGGAAGUCAGCGAGACCAAGAACCCACCAGAAGGAACCAACUACAGACACACUGCUAUAUGGUCCAGCUAUGUACAAACUGAAUCAAGAUUCUAUGUACAUCAGAAUCAAGAGAGAGUGAGUUCUUGACAUCACGGAGCGGUCUACAUUCUAGUUCAUGCGGUGGACCUGCUGGGUGGCCUCAGAGGUACCUUUCAAAUGCUGGCCCAGAAAGGUGAGGCAAGGAGGGGACCUGGCCUCCAUCUCUGUGAAUCCCACAGCCCUCCUCCUGAGAUCUGCAGGGGUAGCAUGAAAUAUUUAAAAGCUCAAAUUGAAAUCUUGUUAGAGCCAGGUCUUGUAAAGCCAAGUUCUCCAACCCCAGAACAUCAGUAUCUGUUUGCUGGUGUCAUUUAGGGACCCCGGCUUUCCAAACCAUUGACUGAAACUUUCUGUCAAUCCAACACUUUUAGGGUAAUUUAACUUAAUAAUACCUUUGUCGGCACUGGCGCCUGUAUCUGAAGGGUGAUUACCAUAGAAGUUAUUUUAGGUUGUUUAAUGGAAUGUAGUAAAUUCUCAAUUGACAGGGCAGAUCCUCAAAAUGGCUUUUCAAAGUGUUUACCUUUCAAAGCUUUCUCCCUCACUUUACCGAACUUACUACUUUGAGCCAGCGAAGACUUCAUAAAUUAUUAGCAAUUGUUCUCCCCCCUGUGUUCACAUGCAUCAUUAAUUCUUUGUAAAAAGUUCAAACUGUCCGGGGCUUAAUUGUUAUCACUUGGAGAACGGCUAGAAAUGGAUGCAGGCUGUAUUAUUUCUGUCAAAAAUUUUGACUUAUUGCUCUUGAUAUUUUACCCAUCACAUCACAUCCUCGGUACAGGAGAGAGGAAAAAGGAGAGGGGGAGGAGAAAGAACAUAAAUGCGUUUUCUUGAAACAAAACAAAUAUAAUAAUACAUAUAUUUCUGAGGAGAAAAGUCAAGGAUUCAUCUGACAAAAUAAUAGUUUUAAUCCUCCAAAGAGAGAGGAGGAGGGCAGCAUUAGGGGGAAAUUUCUAUUGUAAAUUCUAUUGCUUCACACUGUACUUUUAUUCUAAGUUUUGAAGGUUGUAUAAUUCUAGGAAUCUAAUGUUUAACGAUUCUGAGAUAUUGAAAUUUUAUGAGUCCAAAUUCCCAAGGUGUUUGAUUUUAAGGAUAAAUUAAUCCCACCGUCCAGUAUUCAGGACUGCUAAAAAGUAUAGUAGAAUUAGAAAGAUAUUGACAAUAACCACAGAAAUAGCUAAGCUUUGUUGAGACCUUAACCAUAUGCAGGCACUGUGCUGAGUGCUUCAUGUGCAGCACCUUAUUUUAUUUUAUUUUAUUUUAUUUUAUUUUUUUGCUUUUGCUAAUUUUUUAAAAUUGUACUUUAAGUUCUGGGGUACAUGUGCAGAACGCGCAGGUUUGUUACAUAGGUAUACACAUGCCAGGGUGGUUUGCUGCACCCAUCAACCUGUCAUCUACAUUAGGUAUUUCUCCUAAUGCUGUCCCUCCCCUAGCCCCUCAUCCCCCAACAGGCCCCAGUGUGUGAUGUUCCCCUCCCUGUGUCCAUGUAUUCUCUUUGUUCAAUGCCCACUUAUGAGUGAGAACAUGCGGUGUUUGGUUUUCUGUUCUUGUGUUAGUUUGUUGAGAAUGAUUGUUUCCAGGUUCAUCCAUGUCCCUGUGAUCCCAUUACUGGGUAUGUGUCCAAAAGAUUAUAAAUCAUUCUACUAUAAAGACACAUGCACACGUAUGUUUAUUGCAGCACUGUUCACAGUAGCAAAGACUUGGAACCAACCCAAAUGCCCAUCAAUGAUAGACUGGAUAAAGAAAAUGUGGCACAUAUACAUGAUGGAAUACUAUGUAGCAGCACCUUAUUUAAUCUUCAUGUCACUGUAAAGUAGGUACUGUUAUUAACCCCUUAUAUAGCUGGGAAAACUGAGGCACAGAGAGGGUAAGUAACUUACUCAGGGACACACAGCUGGUAAAAAGCAGAGUUAAACUCUGACUUCAGGCCCUGUGUGUGUAGAACUUAACGUAUAUUGUGCCCCAUCUCAAGACACUGCUCUUUUGCCCCACCUGGCAUGCUGUGGAUCAGUGUAGAAGUGAUCCACAUUGGUAUAUGAGUCUAUUGUCAGACUACCCCUGAGGCAACCCAGCCCUGACCUGCUUUUUGUUUGUGUUGACGUUGCUCAUCCAGUCCAGCAGAUCACCCUUUCCCAUACAUUCUACAAGGUCAUCUCCUCCAAGAAGGCUUCAGUCCUGCCGCACCAUCCUUUGAAUCCUCACAACAGUUGGUACCAGGGAAAGGGAUAAUGAGGCAGUCUAGUAGGCUGGCCAAAAGCAUGGACUAUGGGGUCAGAUCCCUUCGGUUGGGAUCUUACUUCUGCCAGUAAAUCCAUGCGCUAAGCUUCAGUUAGGCAAGCCAUUUCAGCCUCAGCUUUCACAUCUGUAAAAUGGAUAUAACCACCCCUGCCUCACAGAACUGUUGUGAAGAGGAAGGGAGGUGCUCCAAGGGAGCUCUGUUUACUGCUUCACAACAGUCAGUGCUGAAUACAUGUUGGCUGUUGUUCUCUCUUGUCUUGUAGUGAUCUCGUACUGAGAGUUUUGUACAUUAAAGUAUAAGAGUCAGUAUUUUUUUUCCUAGUCAACAUUUAUUUUCAAUGAGAUUUGGAAAUUUCCUUACCAAAUAAUUCAAGGUGAAAGUAUAUUAAACUAUAUUUUUAAAAAUUGUAUUUUUGACAAGUGACCAUUAUAUAUAUUUAUGAGGUACAAUGAGAUGUUUUGAUUAUGUUUAUCUUGUGCAAUGAUUAAAUCAAGCUAAUUAACACAUCACCUCAUUUACUUAUCAUUUUUUGUGGUGAAAGCAUUUAAAAUCUUGUUUUUUUAGCAAUUUUGAAAUUAUAUAUUGCAUUAUUGUUUAUUAUUGUCAUCAUUCUGUACAAUAGGUCACUGAAGCUUAUUCCUUCUGUCAGCUGAAACUUUGUACCCUUUGAUCACUCUCUCCUCUUUCUCUACCCACCUGCUUCCCCCAGCCUCUGGUAACCACCAUUCUACGCUCUCAACUUCUUUAGAUUUCACAUUUUUUUAAUCCAUUCAUCUGAUGUUGGACAUUAAGGUUGCUUCCAUAUCUUAACUAUUGUGAAUUACAUUUCAAUGAACAUAGGAGUGGAAAUAUCUCUUGGGCAUAGGAUUUCAAUUCCUUUGGAUAUACACCCCACAUGGUAAUCCUAUUUUUAGUUUUCUGAGGAACUCCCAUACUGUUUUCCAUAAUGGCUGUAUUAAUUUACUUUCCCACCAACAGUGCACAAGGGUUCACUUUUUCCAUACCCACAUCAACUUAUUAUGUCUUUUUGAUAAUAGUAUUCUAACAAGUUGUGAUGAUAUAUCAUUGUGGUUUUAAUUUGCAUUUCCCUGAUGAUUAGCGAUGACCAGCACUUUUUAAUUCCUCAUUUGUCCAUUCGUAGAUCUUCUUCUGAGAAGUGUCUAUUUAGGUCCUUAGCUAAUUUUUUGAUUGGGUUAUUUAUUUUCUUGUUAUUGAGUUGUGUUUCUUAUAUAUUUUUUAUGUUAGCUCCUUAUCUGAUGUAUGGUUUGCAGAUAUUUUUUCCCAGUCCUUGAGUUGUGUCUUUACUCUAUCAGUCAUUUCCUUUGCUGUGCAGAAACUUUUUAGUUUGAUGUAACUUCAUUUGUUUGUUUUUGCUUUUGUUGCCCAUGCUUUUGGAAUCAUACCUAAGAAAUAUUUGCCCAGACCAAUAUUCUGGAGCAUUUCUCCUAUGUCCCCUCAUAGAUUCACAGACUCAGGUCUCAUGUUUAAGUCUUUAAUCCAUCUUGAGUUGAUUUUUGUAUAUGGUGUGAGGUAGGGUACAAUUUCACUCUAAUGCUUGUUGACAUCCAGUUUUCCCAACACCAUUAAUUGAAGAAGCUAUCUUUUCCCCAUUGUGUGUUCUUGGUGCUUUUGUCAAAACUCAGUAGACCAUAAAUGUGUGGGUUCACUUCUGAACUCUGUUCUAUUCUGUUGGUCAAUGUGUCUGUUUAUAUGCCAAUGCCAUGCUUUGAUUACUAUAGCUAUAUAAUAGAUUUUGAUGUCAGGUAGUGCAAUGCCUCCAGCUUUAUUUUUUUUUGCUCAAGAUGCCUUUGGUUAUUUGAGGUCUUUUGUGGUUCUAUACAAGUUUUAGGAUUGUUUUUUCUUUGCUGUGAAAAAUGACUUUGAAAUUUUGAUAGAGCUUGCAUUGAAUCUGUACAUCACUUUGGGUAGUAUGGACAUUUUAACAAUAUUAAUUCCCAAUCCAUGAACACAAAAACAUUUCCAUUUCCAGUCAUGCACUCCAUAAUGACAUUUCAGUUAGACAAUGAACUGCAUAGACAAAAGUGGUCUCCUAAGAUUAUAAUGGAGCUGAAAAAUCCCUGUUUCCUAGUGACAUCUUGAUGAUCCUGACCCUGUGUAGAUAACUAGGCUAAUGUGUGUGUGUGUCUCCUAGUUUUUAAGAAAAAAGUUUAAAAAGUAAAAAAAAAAAAAAAAAAAACUAGAAAAAGCUUAAAGAAUAAGUAUAUAAAGAAAGAAAAUAUUUUUGUACCUUGUAUAAUGUGUAUUUUACACUAUUAUCACAAAAGAGUCAAAAAGUUAAUAAAAUUAAAAAUUUUAUGAAGUAAAAAUGUUGCCAUAAUGCUAAGGUUAAUUUAUUAUUGAAUAAAAAAUGUUUUAACCUAAAUUUAGGGCAACCUAAGUGUUCAGUGUUUAUAAAGUCUGCAGUAGUGUACAGUAAUGUCCUAGGCCUUCACAUUUAUUCAGCAUUUACUCACUGACUCACCCAGAGCAACUUCCAGUCUGCAAGUUCCAUUCCUGCUAAGGGC